UAAGUUUCAUUCUGACAUGAAGUUGGAGAAAUUAUUCUGUUUGUAGGUUUGUUUUUUAAUUUUUUCAAAAAGGUUUGUUAUCAGUAGAUCUUCCUUCACGCUUGAAUACAUCUCCGAGGAAUUUUUUUACCUAUUGUAUCAAUUUAUUCAAGUCUAGGUUCUAGUAGAACACUAUUUGGAGGCUUUUCAGAGAUAUUUUAGCUUUGUCGUUCAGGUAGAUUAGGCUUAUCAUAUAUUUAGAUUGAGUUUAUUUACUGAAAUUGUGUAAUAAUAUGCUAGUUUUUGGAUAAGUAAUUGUAGUUGCAUAUAUAUAUAUAUAUAUAUAUANNNNNNNNNNNNNNNNNNNNNNNNNNNNNNNNNNNNNNUAUAUAUAUAAACAUACCUUAUUUAUCCGAAUUAGGACCCCGUUCUAGUAAAUUUUGGUAUUUUAUCUUUCAAUAUACUAUAGCGUCUAUCACUUUAGGACGUGGAAUUAAAUUGCAAAAUUAUGAAUUUGCUCCUUUUAAAUUAAGACAUACGUACGGUAAUUAGACGUGUUUUAGCUUCUAUUCAGGUUUAGUAUAUAUUUUAUUUCUGUCAUUGAUUGUGAAUUUUGGUACCACGUUGACAUUGUUAUGGUAUGGUAUGAAUUUUAAUAUUACAGUUGGGUAUGAUUACUUUGAGUUCUGGUUUGAUUCCGACAUCUUAUUAUAGUGUGGUUCAUUUGAGUUUCGGUUCGAGUCCGGUAUCUGAUUAUGGUUGUAAAUCCUUUGAGUUCCGAUUUGAGUUCGGCAUCUGAUUAUGAGUUCAAGUGUAUAUUAUAUAUGUGGCCUCUCGUUAUUACCCACUAUGUCCGAUUCGAAUUUGGCACGUGUCCUCUUGUUAUUAUCCACCACUAUCGGUUUGAGUCUGGUGUCUGUCCUCUCGUUACUACCUAUUGGUACCGGUUCAAGCCAGUUGCAUAUCUGGAUGACUACUAUGAUUUGUUGGGAUUGAUUUAGUUAUGAAUUAUUUAUGUUUAUUUUUGUUAAUUACUUAUUAUGUGUCCCACCGGCUAAUGGGGGUACGGUUGGGUUAAUUGUCUUCUUUAGUGUGCCUAGCAGGCUUAUGUGGCCUAGUUAGGUUAUGUUUAAUUUGUCUGUUAUUGCUGCAUUACUUAUUUUCUAUAUGACUUAUAUUUAUUCCUUUAAAGCAUUUGCGUAACUUGGUAGUUGUUUACCUUUCCAUUCCUAUUUACGGAUGACUCAGAUUACGCCCUUGCAUUGUAGUUAUACCUUUUCUGUAUUGAGCUCAGUCGGCCGAUGAUGCCUACUGAUAUCCGUUGCUUUGCUACUCAUACUACACUUCUGCAUCUUUUUCCUGAUGAAGAUCCGAGUAGUAGCAGUCGACAUUGACGUGAUUCCUACCUUCCAGUACUGAUUCAGAGCAGGGUGAGCUUACUGUCAUCCGAGGCUGAUCCUCCUCUAUUUACUCCAGUUUAGUCUUUUGUACUCGAGAUUGCUUGUAUAUAUUAGGUAUAUUUUGAAUUUUGUCUAGUUCUCUGGGUAUAUUUUAGUAGUGGCUCUAGUACUGACCUUACCAGGUCUUAGGAGGGAUUCAUUUGUGUAUUUGGUCCUUUUUCUUUUC
Molecule: long non-coding RNA, 1605 nt
Filed under: Capsicum annuum
Lineage: Eukaryota; Viridiplantae; Streptophyta; Magnoliopsida; Solanales; Solanaceae
Description: long non-coding RNA (CANN_LNC000767)
Source: RNAcentral